GACAGAGGGGGCAAGCGUUGCUCGGAAUUACUGGGCGUAAAGGGCGCGUAGGCGGGAUGGCAAGUCGGUCGUGAAAUCCCUCGGCUCAACCGAGGAACGUCGAUCGAUACUGCUGUUCUUGAGGAUUGCAGAGGAGACUGGAAUUCCCGGUGUAGCGGUGAAAUGUGUAGAGGUCGGGAGGAACACCGGUGGCGAAGGCGGCGUUCUGGACUGCAACUGACACUGAGGAACGAAAGCGUGGGGAGCGAACAGG
RNAcentral lists this ribosomal RNA (253 nucleotides) under uncultured bacterium. RNAcentral describes it as "partial 16S ribosomal RNA". It matches the Rfam family "Bacterial small subunit ribosomal RNA", at positions 524 to 776 of the family's 1533-position model. The record is from RNAcentral.